GGAGCUUGUGCCUUGCCAGGUUUUGGGAACAUGCAGGGAGCACCAGCUCCAUGCUGGGAGCAUUUAGAUCCAUGAAGGGUGGGCAGCCUCAAGAAUUCACAAAAGGGAAACUACUUGAAAUAUUCUCACCUGCUUCCAUGGAGGGAAAAUUUUUCAGUGGAGAUCCAUUUCUCUUUUGGUGAAAAACUGUCCAAUCUUUCUUUUAAAUAUACUUAGUGUGCUCUCCUUGUA
Molecule: long non-coding RNA, 231 nt
Organism: Vidua chalybeata
Lineage: Eukaryota; Metazoa; Chordata; Aves; Passeriformes; Viduidae
Exons: 2
Source: RefSeq, a predicted model, not a curated record